GGAGGAAAAGAAACUAACAAGGAUUCCCCUAGUAACGGCGAGUGAAGAGGGAAGAGCUCAAAUUUUAAAUCUGCCUUGUUCCAAGGUCGAGUUGUAAUUUGAAGAAGCGUUUUCUUGGGCUCGCGGCCGGUAGAAGUUCUUUGGAACAGGACAUCAUAGAGGGUGACAAUCCCGUCCGUGACCGGUCGUGCGUUCAUCUACGAUACGCUUUCAAAGAGUCGAGUUGUUUGGGAUUGCAGCUCCAAACGGGUGGUAAACAUCACCUAAGGCUAAAUAUUGGCGAGAGACCGAUAGCGAACAAGUACCGUGAGGGAAAGAUGAAAAGAACUUUGAAAAGAGAGUUAAACAGUACGUGAAAUUGUUGAAAGGGAAACGAUUGAAGUCAGUCGUGCUGGCGCGAAAUCAACCCUCUCGUCUUGAGAUCACAUGGCGCGACGAGCCUCAAAACCGUCACGAAGCGUGAACUCUUGACGAAAAGGUGCACUUUCGUGUCCGCUGGUUAACAUCAAUUUCGAACGUCAUAAAAAGGCUGGAGGGAUGUGGCUCCUUCGGGAGUGUUAUAACCUUUAGCGGAAUGUGGCGUUCGGGAUUGAGGAUUGCAACGAAUACCUUCAGGGCUGUUCCACCUGGCUUCUCAUUGGUAUCCUGGUGACGACAGCUUGCUGACGUCGUUAGGAUCAGCUUCUGAACAGGCUAGAGUGUGAGCAAAUUCGUUAAGGAUGUUAACGUAAUGGCUUUAAACGACCCGUCUUG
This 753-nucleotide ribosomal RNA is filed under the name Glomeromycotina sp. OTU30 DJMC-2012. RNAcentral's name for it is "eukaryotic LSU rRNA". It matches the Rfam family "Eukaryotic large subunit ribosomal RNA", at positions 52 to 656 of the family's 3401-position model. The record is from RNAcentral. RNAcentral also lists the same sequence under 1 other name. Lineage: Eukaryota; Fungi; Glomeromycota.